AUGAAGGGAGGUGCAGUCCAGAGGCAGCAGAUUCACAGCCUGUGUGUUUUGGACUCCCCGUGUGCAGUGCUCAAGGAAUAUAGCUCUGUAUUUCCUUUUGGGAUUUCUCAAACAUUCUUCUUAUCUGUCACGUAUGGGAGCAACCAAAUUCAGUUCAAAAUCCUGAACAGAAGCAGGAAUGACAACAUUACUGGAAAAACUGUUUUUAGCUGGCAAACAAACCUCCUACAGAUAUACUGUAUCCACAGCACGUAAUUCCUAGUAAUACGAAUCAUGCAACAGCAUGGUCCAACAGCAAGUUAAUAUUUCCACAAGGCCACCCUACUCCUAGGAAAUAGGUAACUAUGCAAAUCAAUAUGCACUUAAAUGAAAUCAAUAAACAAGAAGGGUCAGAAAAUCA
This 400-nucleotide long non-coding RNA is filed under the name Anas platyrhynchos platyrhynchos (common mallard). Its description in RNAcentral is "lncRNA (ENSAPLG00000022958.1)". The record is from RNAcentral. Lineage: Eukaryota; Metazoa; Chordata; Aves; Anseriformes; Anatidae.